This 262-nucleotide ribosomal RNA is filed under the name Streptomyces boetiae. Its description in RNAcentral is "Streptomyces sp. DSM 44917 partial 23S ribosomal RNA". It matches the Rfam family "Bacterial large subunit ribosomal RNA", at positions 1085 to 1347 of the family's 2925-position model. The record is from RNAcentral. Lineage: Bacteria; Bacillati; Actinomycetota; Actinomycetes; Kitasatosporales; Streptomycetaceae.
CCAGACAGCCAGGAGGUUGGCUUAGAAGCAGCCAUCCUUGAAAGAGUGCGUAAUAGCUCACUGGUCGAGUGAUUCUGCGCCGAUAAUGUAGCGGGGCUCAAGUACACCGCCGAAGUCGUGUCGCCACCCGCAAGGGUGGUGGGUAGGGGAGCGUCGUGUGCUGGGUGAAGCGGCCCUGGAAGGGUGUCGUGGACGGUUCACGAGUGAGAAUGCAGGCAUGAGUAGCGUGAUGCACGUGGGAAACGUGUGCGCCGAUUGACUA